Molecule: ribosomal RNA, 1251 nt
Filed under: metagenome
Description: bacterial LSU rRNA
Rfam family: Bacterial large subunit ribosomal RNA
Source: RNAcentral
UUGAGUUGAGAGAACUCUGGAGAAGGAACUCGGCAAAUUGACACCGUAACUUCGGAAGAAGGUGUGCCUUUAGUAGGUGAACCAUUUACUUGGGGAGCCCAAUGAGGCCGCAGAGAAUCGGUGGCUGCAACUGUUUAUUAAAAACACAGCACUCUGCAAAGACGAAAGUCGACGUAUAGGGUGUGACUCCUGCCCGGUGCUGGAAGAUUAAAUGAUGGGGUGCAAGCUCUUGACUGAAGUCCCAGUAAACGGCGGCCGUAACGAUAACGGUCCUAAGGUAGCGAAAUUCCUUGUCGGGUAAGUUCCGACCUGCACGAAUGGAGUAAUGAUGGCCACACUGUCUCCUCCAGAGACUCAGCGAAGUUGAAAUGUUUGUGAUGAUGCAAUCUCCCCGCGGAAAGACGGAAAGACCCCAUGAACCUUUACUGUAGCUUUACAUUGGACUUUGAACAGAUCUGUGUAGGAUAGGUGGGAGGCUUUGAAGAGUGGACGCUAGUUUGCUUGGAGCCAACGUUGAAAUACCACCCUGGUGUGUUUGAGGUUCUAACCUUGGUCCCUUAUCGGGAUUGGGGACAGUGUAUGGUGGGCAGUUUGACUGGGGCGGUCUCCUCCCAAAGUGUAACGGAGGAGUUCGAAGGUACGCUAAAUACGGUCGGAAAUCGUGUUGAUAGUGCAUUGGCAUAAGCGUGCUUGACUGCGAGACUGACAAGUCGAGCAGGUACGAAAGUAGGACAAAGUGAUCCGGUGGUUCUGUAUGGAAGGGCCAUCGCUCAACGGAUAAAAGGUACUCUGGGGAUAACAGGCUGAUACCGCCCAAGAGUUCAUAUCGACGGCGGUGUUUGGCACCUCGAUGUCGGCUCAUCUCAUCCUGGGGCUGUAGCCGGUCCCAAGGGUAUGGCUGUUCGCCAUUUAAAGAGGUACGUGAGCUGGGUUUAAAACGUCGUGAGACAGUUUGGUCCCUAUCUUCCGUGGGCGCUGCAAGAUUGAGAGAGCCUGCUCCUAGUACGAGAGGACCGGAGUGGACGCACCUCUGGUGUAUCGGUUGUCACGCCAGUGGCAUCGCCGAGUAGCUAAGUGCGGAAGAGAUAACCGCUGAAAGCAUCUAAGCGGGAAACUCGUCUCAAGAUGAGUCUUGCCGGGGCCUAGAGCCCCCUGAAGGGUCGUUCGAGACCAGGACGUUGAUAGGCUGGGUGUGGAAGCGCGGUAACGCGUUAAGCUAACCAGUACUAAUUGCCCGUGAGGCUUGACCCU